GUUUAGCCCUGAUUGAAACGGAAUCCUUUUUUUAACUUAAUUAAUAAGUGUCAUUACGAAUGAAGUAAUCUGUAUUUGGAUAAAAAGAUUGCUUCGUAAACUCGCAAUGACAUUUAAGAAUAGAAAAAAAAGAUAUAGUGAAAAGCAGGAAACCUG
This 156-nucleotide small RNA is filed under the name Polaribacter sp. SA4-12. RNAcentral's name for it is "Flavo-1 RNA". It matches the Rfam family "Flavo-1 RNA". The record is from Rfam by way of RNAcentral. Lineage: Bacteria; Pseudomonadati; Bacteroidota; Flavobacteriia; Flavobacteriales; Flavobacteriaceae.